UCAGAGGAGACAGAUAGCACCUUGUCAGUUGUAUCUUAUCCCUCAUGAAGACUGCUUUGAACAUUUUUGUUGCUUGAUUUGCAUUGCACUCACAGAGUCACUGGGGAACUAACGGAGCAAAUAAGAAGCGGGACUCUGAGGCAGACAGAUAGCAAGACUGACCGUGAUGUCUGGUGGUGGUGGGCUCGAGGAGGGCUGUGGUGGGGGUUGCAUCACCAAUGACUAAACAGUCAUUCAGCUCAGGCCUGUGAUAACGUGCCAGAGCUCAGGAUUUCAACAGCAGUCUGAAACCCUGGAGCCACAGAGCAGGGCAGGCCUGGUCUCGCUCAGACUCAGGCUCAAACUUAAACCCAAGAAAAAGGGAGAGGCCGGCAUCCAAUUCCUGCUGCACUCAUGCCACCCCCUCAACCUCGGAGGCUUCCUCAUAAAUCAUACAGUCCCAAUCGCUUGCUCUGCACCAGGUGCCAGGGCCGGCCUCCACUCUGCAGCUUAACGCUGAAAGUAAAGCUUAAGGCUUUCCUUCAUAUAAUGUUCAAUCUCAGUGUUCCUACAAAAAUACACUUAUUACAUUUAGGAAAACUGUGAUUUAUGAGAGAAAUGUAUCAGAGCUUAAAUUUGUAUGAGGCUGUGUUAUUUUUUUGUAAUGUACAAUGUAAAUUUGUGCCUUUAAUUUCAGACACUUUCAGCAAGAAUAUUCCAUGUGUUCUAUCCUUCAUUCCACCGGAGUCUGUAUCUGUAUUUAACCAGAUUUCAGUGGUGUGAAGUGUAAGAGACAUGGAGACACGGCUUCACAAGCCAGUCACAACACCAGAAGGCAUCUAAGUCAGAGGUCAAAGAAAUUACUGUUUCUACUGUUCCAUACUUUUGAUUGUAUUUUGAACAUUGAAAGCCAUAUUACAUUUUAUGUAAUAUAUACUAUCAUGUAUUGUAUGUAUAUUUCCUGUGAAAUAUAGAACACAAUAUGUUAUGCCUGAAUUUUCAUUAAUAAGACAAUGUACUGAGCAACUUGGUAAUCUGAAUAAAUUUCCUGACCUUGUG
This is a long non-coding RNA of Lates calcarifer (barramundi perch), 1038 nucleotides long. RefSeq lists it as uncharacterized. Lineage: Eukaryota; Metazoa; Chordata; Actinopteri; Centropomidae. The transcript has 2 exons. The record is from RefSeq and is a predicted model, not a curated record.